AAUUCGUACAACAAAGAAGAAGCAUUGUCUCCUAAAUUCAUGAGUUUCAGUCAGAACGGAUUACAAGAGUGCGAGGUGCAAGGAAGGAUACGUGGGCAUAUUUAUAUAACAAUUUCCGUUUCCACCGUAAUUCACCACACGAUGCAGAGGUGAAGGAGUAUCGCUGUGCAUAUCGGAAAAAGAGUAAAUGUCCAGUUCGAAUAUGGGAACACCCAGAUGGAACAGUUGUGGAGAAUGGCAAGAUACACAAAUGUAAAGAAGAUUACGAUGCCAAGGAGAAUGAGAUUUGUCUGGGUGAAGUGGACCGGGCUGUGCUUGAGGGAGGGAAGCUUCGAAACAUCACUAAUUCUCUGAGCCGGAGAUUCGCACACAUUAAAACAAAGAGGGCAAUUGAAGCUAAACUUAGGCGUGUUAGGCCAACCCUCAGCAUUCCCAAUGAUCUCACCAUCCUAGCUGAAUACCUACAGAAGUACGAUGAGGGGAGAUUAAUUUUCCAAGGAAUCAUUGAAAGAGAACAGAGCAAGGCGUUAAUACUUGCUUCACGAAACAUGAUUGAUGCCAUCACGUCAGAAACUAAGCUUGUCAUUACUCAGAGCAAGAACACACGUCCUAAUCUACAAGGAACUGAGUUAAUGAUUCUGCAUCUGGUCAGGACCAGAGGUUUAAUCGUUUCG
Long non-coding RNA from Diachasma alloeum, 674 nucleotides. RefSeq lists it as uncharacterized. The transcript is spliced from 3 exons. The record is from RefSeq and is a predicted model, not a curated record. Lineage: Eukaryota; Metazoa; Arthropoda; Insecta; Hymenoptera; Braconidae.